Molecule: transfer RNA, 72 nt
Filed under: Marmota marmota marmota (Alpine marmot)
Lineage: Eukaryota; Metazoa; Chordata; Mammalia; Rodentia; Sciuridae
Also listed under: 1 other name
Rfam family: tRNA
About the family: Transfer RNA (tRNA) molecules are approximately 80 nucleotides in length. Their secondary structure includes four short double-helical elements and three loops (D, anti-codon, and T loops).
Source: Rfam by way of RNAcentral
GGGGGUGUAGCUCAGUGGUACAGCACUUACCUAGCAUGCAUGAGGUCCAGGAUUCAAUCCCCAGCACCCCUC